Molecule: ribosomal RNA, 460 nt
Filed under: uncultured bacterium
Lineage: Bacteria
Description: partial 16S ribosomal RNA
Rfam family: Bacterial small subunit ribosomal RNA
Source: RNAcentral
CCUACGGGUGGCAGCAGUGAGGAAUAUUGGUCAAUGGGCGAGAGCCUGAACCAGCCAAGUCGCGUGGAGGAUGGCGGCCCUACGGGUUGUAAACUUCUGUUGUCAGGGAGCAAUUGAGUCCACUAGUGGGCUUAGCGGGAGAGACGGAAGAAAAAGCAUCGGCUAACUCCGUGCCAGCAGCCGCGGUAAUACGGAGGAUGCGAGCGGUGUCCGGAGUGUGUGGGGUAAAAGGGUGCGUAGGCGGAAUAUCAAGUCAGCGGUAAAAACUCGGGGCUCCACCCCGGCGUGCAGAUGAAACUGAUGUUCUUGAGUGGGCGAGAAGUAUGCGGAAUGCGUGGUGUAGCGGUGAAAUGCAUAGAUAUCACGCAGAACUCCGAUUGCGAAGGCAGCAUCCCGGCGCCUAACUGACGCUGAAGCACGAAAGCGUGGGUAUCGAACAGGAUUAGAUACCCUAGUAGCC